ACAUGCAAGUCGAGCGGAUGACGGGAGCUUGCUCCUUGAUUCAGCGGCGGACGGGUGAGUAAUGCCUAGGAAUCUGCCUGGUAGUGGGGGACAACGUUUCGAAAGGAACGCUAAUACCGCAUACGUCCUACGGGAGAAAGCAGGGGACCUUCGGGCCUUGCGCUAUCAGAUGAGCCUAGGUCGGAUUAGCUAGUUGGUGGGGUAAUGGCUCACCAAGGCGACGAUCCGUAACUGGUCUGAGAGGAUGAUCAGUCACACUGGAACUGAGACACGGUCCAGACUCCUACGGGAGGCAGCAGUGGGGAAUAUUGGACAAUGGGCGAAAGCCUGAUCCAGCCAUGCCGCGUGUGUGAAGAAGGUCUUCGGAUUGUAAAGCACUUUAAGUUGGGAGGAAGGGCAGUAAGUUAAUACCUUGCUGUUUUGACGUUACCGACAGAAUAAGCACCGGCUAACUCUGUGCCAGCAGCCGCGGUAAUACAGAGGGUGCAAGCGUUAAUCGGAAUUACUGGGCGUAAAGCGCGCGUAGGUGGUUUGUUAAGUUGGAUGUGAAAGCCCCGGGCUCAACCUGGGAACUGCAUCCAAAACUGGCAAGCUAGAGUACGGUAGAGGGUGGUGGAAUUUCCUGUGUAGCGGUGAAAUGCGUAGAUAUAGGAAGGAACACCAGUGGCGAAGGCGACCACCUGGACUGAUACUGACACUGAGGUGCGAAAGCGUGGGGAGCAAACAGGAUUAGAUACCCUGGUAGUCCACGCCGUAAACGAUGUCAACUAGCCCUUGGAAUCCUUGAGAUUUUAGUGGCGCAGCUAACGCAUUAAGUUGACCGCCUGGGGAGUACGGCCGCAAGGUUAAAACUCAAAUGAAUUGACGGGGGCCCGCACAAGCGGUGGAACAAGUGGUUUAAUUCGAAGCAACGCGAAGAACCUUACCAGGCUUGACAUGCAGAGACUUUCCAGAGAUGGAUUGGUGCCUUCGGGAACUCUGACCAAGUGCUGCAUGGCUGUCGUCAGCUCGUGUCUGGAAUGUUGGGUAAGUCCCGUAACGAGC
Molecule: ribosomal RNA, 1044 nt
Filed under: Pseudomonas putida
Lineage: Bacteria; Pseudomonadati; Pseudomonadota; Gammaproteobacteria; Pseudomonadales; Pseudomonadaceae
Description: bacterial SSU rRNA
Rfam family: Bacterial small subunit ribosomal RNA
Source: RNAcentral